GAAUGCAUUCUUCUCUUUAUCUUACAGUGUCUUUUCUAUUGAGGCAAUGAUGAAACAUCUUUUCAACUUCUCUCUCCUAUUUUCCUUUUGCAACAGUGCAUGGCAGUUGGGGCAGUCCAUUUCUUCAUAGACAACUGCUGCAGUCACUUAUUGAGAUGAUUGCAGCAAAAGGAUGUGAGGAUCCAUGCAGAUGCUUGUUUAGUCUGGGAGAUCAUAGCAGGGC
This 223-nucleotide long non-coding RNA is filed under the name Elaeis guineensis (African oil palm). RNAcentral describes it as "long non-coding RNA (EGUI_LNC022536)". The record is from RNAcentral. Lineage: Eukaryota; Viridiplantae; Streptophyta; Magnoliopsida; Arecales; Arecaceae.